CUCAACUCACUGCAGCCUUGAGCUCUCAGGCUCAAGUGACCCUCCCACCCUAGCCUCCCAAGUAGCUAGGACCACAGGCUUGUGCCAUCACAACUGGCUAAUUUUUGAAUUUUGGAGAGAUGGGGUCUCCCUGUGUUGCCCAGGUCUUGAACUCCUGGGCUCAAGCAAUCCUCCUGCCUCGGCCUUCCAAAGUGCUGAGAUUGCAGGCAUGAGCUACCAUGCUUGGCCAAGGGUGUGUGACCUCUGAUGCUGGAUUAUAAAAGGCAUUGCAGCUUCUGCUGUGCUCUCUUCGCUUGCUCACUCUGAGGAAAGCUAGCAGCCAUCCUGUGAGGACAGUCAAGCAGUUCUGUACAGAGGCCCAUGUGGAGAAAAACAGGCAUCCUGCCAUCAAUCAGCAGCAACCUGCCAAUCAUGAAAGUGAGCCACUGUCCGGGGACAACUUAUCCACAUUCAUGGCAAUGUACUGAAGAAAUAUAUAUUGAGCACCAACUAUGAACCAGGCACCAGGACACACCAAGAACACAUUGUUCAUGAUGCAGAGAAGAAACACUUGCAUAACAACUAUAUAUUGUGGUAACUGUUCUACUAAAGAUUAAUGUGAAUUACCAGGAAAGCAGAAAGAAGGGAAUGACACGUCUGAGAAGUCUUCAUAAAAGUACAUUGCUAAAGGAUGACCAAAAUGUUCAAAGGUGAAAAUGACAAUUUCAGGCAAAGAGAACAAUUGAUGCAAAGGCAUGUAAUUACGACACAGCAUAGCAUGUCUAGAAAAGGACAAGAAGUUUGGUGUGGAGCAAUUAGGGGAGUGCAAGGAGAUGCAAAGAUACACAGCUGGAGAUAAAGUGGGUGCUGUGGAAAGUCUUCUAAGCCCUGCUAAUGAGUUUCAAAUUUAUUCACUAUGCAUUGAAAGCCAUUGAAAGGGGUUAAGCAAGAAAGAGACAUGAUCAUAUUUGUAUUUUUAUUUAUGUUUUUUCUUUCUUUCUUUCUUUCUUUUUUUUUUUUUUUUUUUUUUUUUUGAGGCGGAGUCUCACUCUGUCACCAGGCUGGAGUGCAGUGGCACAAUCUCGGCUCACUGCAACCUCCGACUCCCUGGUUGAAGGGAUUCUCCUGCCUCAGGCUCCCUAGAAGCUGGCAUUACAGGCACGCACCACCACGCCCAACUAAUUUUUGUAUUUUUAGUAGAGACGGGGUUUCACCAUGUUAGCCAGAAUGGUCUUAAUCUCCUGACCUCGUGAUCUGCCCGCCUCGGACUCCCAAAGUGCUGGGAUUACAGGCAUGAGCCACCGCGCCCGGCCCAUAUUUGUGUUUUUUUUUGUUUGUUUUUUUGUUUUUUUGUUUUUCUCUGAGACGGAGUCCUGCUCUGUCACCCAGGCUGGAGUGCAGUGGCUCAAUCUGGGCUCACUGCAAGCUCCGCCUCCCGGGUUCCCGCCAUUCUCCUGCCUCAGCCUCCUGAGUAGCUGGGACUACAGGCGCCCGCCACCACGCCCGGCUAAUUUUUUGUAAUUUUAGUAGAGACAGGGUUUCACAGUGUUAGCCAGGAUGGCCGAUCUCCUGACCUCAUAAUCCGCCCGCCUCGGCCUCCCAAAGCGCUGGGAUUACAGGCGUGAGCCACCGCGCCCGGCCCCAUAUUUGUAUUUUAAAAUGACCCCUUUGGUAACCGUGUGGCUAUUUCCCCGCUAGGACUUAAGCAGGUAAGAUGCAUUUCAAUAAUCCAGGUGAGAAGUGAUAGGAGCCUAAACUAAGAGAGUGGCAGUAGGAGACGAAGAGGAAAGAUAGAUUCAAGAGGCAGAAUUUAUCAGAUCUAUGAGCAAAAGAAUGUAGGAGGUAAAAAGAGGGAACAAUCAAAGUCCAAAGUUUUGAGUCUAGUCAGCUAGUUGGACAUUGAUACCAAUAAAUAAAAAAAAAAAGAAUAUGAGACAAGAAUGAGAGGGAUGAGGCAAGGGGAAGGAAGAAAAUAUCUUUUUCAGAUAUGUUGAGUUUGAAGAGUCCAUUGAGAUAUCCAAGAGCAGAUGCCUUGUGAGCAGUUGAAUAUAAGAGUAUGGAGCCUGGAAAUAAGUGUGGGUCAAGGCCGGGUACGGUGGCUCACGCCUGUAAUCCCAGCACUUUGAGAGGCCGAGGUGGGUGGUUCACGAGGUCAGGAGAUCAAGACCAUCCUGGCCAACAUGGUGAAACCCCGUCUCUACUAAAAAUACAAAAAUUAGCUGGGAGUGGUGGCGGGCGCCUGUAAUCCCAGCUACUCAGGAGGCUGAGGCACGAGAAUCGCUUGAACCCAGGAGGCAGAGGUUGCAGUGAGCCGAGAUUGCGUCACUGCACUCCAGCCUGGGAGACAGAGCAAGACUCUGUCUCAAAAAAAAAAAAAAGAAAGAAAGAAAUGUGGGCGCUAAAGCCAUCACAAAGUGACAGCUUCAAUGUUGAAAGGAAAUGAAAUCCGGAUAAUAUAGGAUGGAAAGUAUCUACUUUCAUCAAGAAAUUCAAAAUUUCCUCCAAUAUUCUACUCUCAAAAACUGAGUCCUAUAUUGUCAUCUACUUAUUAGAUUUUCCAUUUGGACAUCCUACCAUCACCUCAAAUAUGAAUGAAUCUAAUGAUAUUAUAGGUCAAAAAUGGUUGAAUAUUGGAAUUAUACAAUGUUUCAACAUUAAUAAUUAGCAUUUCACAGCUGUAUUAUCACAGCAGUGUCCUGGAUUCCUUACCUCCUAGCUCAUCUUAUAAUUCAUAUUGUCAAAUGUUUCUCCAAACCCGUUCUUCACAUCUUACUCCCCUGUUCAAAACCCUUUAGAGGUGCCCUAUUAAUUACUACAGCCAAGCUAAGCCCCACCCUCACCUUCCAUUGCUUCUUAACAUUAUUCUCCACCUAAUAGGGCUGGGCUCAUCAAUGUCCUGUGAACCAACCCACAAUGUUCAUUCCAUUCUAAGCUCAUGCUGACCCAUUACCUGGAAUUUCCUACUCUUGGCUUAUCUAAAUCUGGUCUAAAAGAACUUUUAAAACAGUGUCUCUCAGUUUUCUUUUUUUUUUUUGAGAUGGAGUCUCGCUCUGUGCCAGGCUGGAGUGCAAUGGCAUGAUCUCUGCC
This 3066-nucleotide long non-coding RNA is filed under the name Homo sapiens (human). RNAcentral describes it as "HSALNT0210676". The record is from RNAcentral. Lineage: Eukaryota; Metazoa; Chordata; Mammalia; Primates; Hominidae.